UAUUCUAUCAUAUUCUAACCCUAAAUAAGACUAGAUAAGUCAUUUAGUGCUUCAACGCAAUGUUUCCGAGUUCUUAGCCUAUUUUGGACCCAAUUUCAACAAGUCUUUAUCCACACUUCUAAACACUCUUCAUGCAUCUCUAGCACUUGUAAUCAAUCAAAUUUAUUGUAUUCUACCAUAUUCUAACCCUAAAUAACACUAGAUAAGUCAUUUAGUUCUUCAAUGCAAUGUUUCCGAGUUCUUAGCCUAUUUUGGACCCAAUUUCAACAAGUCUUUCUCCACACUUCUAAACACUUUUCAUGCAUCUCUAGCACUUUUAAAUAAUCAUAUUUAUUGUAUUCUAACAUAUUCUAACUAACCCCAAACAAC
RNAcentral lists this long non-coding RNA (369 nucleotides) under Capsella rubella. RNAcentral's name for it is "long non-coding RNA (CRUB_LNC000225)". The record is from RNAcentral. Lineage: Eukaryota; Viridiplantae; Streptophyta; Magnoliopsida; Brassicales; Brassicaceae.